CUGGAGCGCCAUCCUACUGGGGCACCCUGAGGACACCAUAGAAGAUGUGAUUAUGAAAAGCUACUGAGGAGUGGUGGCGCUUCAGCAAGGUCACAGAAAGAUGGAGAUGCUGACGAAGGAGUGCCGACCUUGGCCGGAACGACUGACUGUAAGACUGAAACAGAUGGAAAAGAGCAUCCAGUUGUCACAGGAGACCAGGAUCCCUAGGGAGAGGAAGUUCAUGAAUACCGGGGAAGGGAGGAACAGGGACUACAACUAAAAAGACAAAUAAUCCGA
Mastomys coucha (southern multimammate mouse) is the source of this 276-nucleotide long non-coding RNA. RefSeq lists it as uncharacterized. NCBI's taxonomy places the organism in Eukaryota, Metazoa, Chordata, Mammalia, Rodentia, Muridae. The transcript has 2 exons. The record is from RefSeq and is a predicted model, not a curated record.